Homo sapiens (human) is the source of this 837-nucleotide long non-coding RNA. Ensembl annotates it as MIR4307 host gene. The record is from Ensembl. Lineage: Eukaryota; Metazoa; Chordata; Mammalia; Primates; Hominidae.
CACAUAUGUUCGGGGGAGGGACCCCAGAAGGCGGCUGACAGUAUUCCUUUAGCCAGAAAUCCCUUCAGGGAAGAGAAAGGUGCUCCCCUUUGCCUGCUUUUAUACUACAGACUGUUUCCAACUCCAGCUAGAAGUGACUAUUGCCGAUUAUGCUAAUCAGUGGCGACAAGCUCCCUUUGACUGCUCACUUCUCCAGUGAGGCUUCAAGCUUCUAGGCAUCAAGAUUAGUAAGGCUGUCUUCUGGGUGGGCCAGUUUGUUUCUCAGUGACACGAAAACAUUGCCUGGGGUGUGCACUGGUAUUUUCCAGAAAAUAUUUCAAGCAGAAUAUACUUAUUUUCCAGUUUUGAAAACAACUAGAUUGCCCAUCUCCAUUUCUCUCUAUCAUCUACUGUAUUAUUCUAUGGACAACUGCCACCCUAAUAAGAAGAAAGCUCUGAUGAAAAGAUGAGAAAUAGAUUUAAUGAGGGAUAAUUGAUGAGAGUAGACUGAAGAAAAUGGAUCUAACAAAUUGGUCAAUGGAGCAACAAAUGAAACCCAGGCAAUGGAAAUAUGUCACUAGGUCAAGAAGGGAAGCCAGAAGUCAAGGCCACAGAAGACACAGGAAACAUCAUUUCCAAAGUGGGAGACAAAGCUGUUAACAGGAAAUUAUUUGUAAAGUCAAGAGCCAAGCAAAACAGAAAAAGGACAAGAAAUCUAUCACCUGUGGGUAUGAAUGGUUCUAGGGAAGUCUGUUGACAAUUGGAGGGUCUCAAAGGCGCUUUAUGGUACUUAUUUUAUGACCCUGAGUCUGGAGUCUGAUGAAUUAAAGAGGAAAUUCUGCUCUGGGCAACAUUUAA